GCCUGGGUGGCUCAGUUGGUUGAGUGCCCGACUUCAGCUCAAGUCAUGAUCUCACUGUUUGUGGGUUCAAGCCCCACGUCAGGCU
This 85-nucleotide transfer RNA is filed under the name Felis catus (domestic cat). It matches the Rfam family "tRNA". From Rfam's summary of the family: Transfer RNA (tRNA) molecules are approximately 80 nucleotides in length. Their secondary structure includes four short double-helical elements and three loops (D, anti-codon, and T loops). The record is from Rfam by way of RNAcentral. Lineage: Eukaryota; Metazoa; Chordata; Mammalia; Carnivora; Felidae.